CGUAACAAGGUCUCCGUAGGUGAACCUGCGGAGAGAUCAUUACACAAAUAUGAAGGCGGGCUGGAACCUCUCGGGGUUACAGCCUUGCUGAAUUAUUCACCCUUGUCUUUUGCGUACUUCUUGUUUCCUUGGUGGGUUCGCCCACCACUAGGACAAACAUAAACCUUUUGUAAUUGCAAUCAGCGUCAGUAACAAAUUAAUAAUUACAACUUUCAACAACGGAUCUCUUGGUUCUGGCAUCGAUGAAGAACGCAGCGAAAUGCGAUAAGUAGUGUGAAUUGCAGAAUUCAGUGAAUCAUCGAAUCUUUGAACGCACAUUGCGCCCUUUGGUAUUCCAAAGGGCAUGCCUGUUCGAGCGUCAUUUGUACCCUCAAGCUUUGCUUGGUGUUGGGCGUCUUGUCUCUAGCUUUGCUGGAGACUCGCCUUAAAGUAAUUGGCAGCCGGCCUACUGGUUUCGGAGCGCAGCACAAGUCGCACUCUCUAUCAGCAAAGGUCUAGCAUCCAUUAAGCCUUUUUUUCAACUUUUGACCUCGGAUCAGGUAGGGAUACCCGCUGAACUUAAGCAUAUCA
Molecule: ribosomal RNA, 570 nt
Filed under: uncultured fungus
Lineage: Eukaryota; Fungi
Description: eukaryotic LSU rRNA
Rfam family: 5.8S ribosomal RNA (bases 208-361)
Source: RNAcentral